GUAGGGUGCAAGCGUUAAUCGGAAUUACUGGGCGUAAAGCGUGCGCAGGCGGUCCGCUAAGACAGAUGUGAAAUCCCCGGGCUUAACCUGGGAACUGCAUUUGUGACUGGCGGGCUAGAGUAUGUCAGAGGGGGGUAGAAUUCCACGUGUAGCAGUGAAAUGCGUAGAGAUGUGGAGGAAUACCGAUGGCGAAGGCAGCCCCCUGGGCCAAUACUGACGCUCAUGCACGAAAGCGUGGGGGGGAGCAAACAGGAUUAGAUACCCUGGUAUCCACGCCCUAAACGAUGUCAACUAGUUGUCGGGUCUUCAUUGACUUGGUAACGUAGCUAAGCGUGAAGUUGACCGCCUGGGAUACGGUCGCAAGAUUA
RNAcentral lists this ribosomal RNA (368 nucleotides) under uncultured organism. RNAcentral describes it as "partial 16S ribosomal RNA". It matches the Rfam family "Bacterial small subunit ribosomal RNA", at positions 527 to 896 of the family's 1533-position model. The record is from RNAcentral.